UAGUCCACGCCGUAAACGAUGAUUACUCGCUGUAGGCGAUACACAGUCUGUGGCUAAGCGAAAGUUUUAAGUAAUCCACCUGGGGAGUACGAUCGCAAGAUUGAAACUCAAAGGAAUUGACGGGGGCCCGCGCAAGCGGAGGAACAUGUGGUUUAAUUCGAUGAUACGCGAGGAACCUUACCUGGACUUAAAUGUGCGUUGCAUAGAUCAGAGAUGGUCUUUUCUUCGGACUACGUACAAGGUGCUGCAUGGUUGUCGUCAGCUCGUGCCGUGAGGUGUCGGGUUAAGUCCCAUAACGAGCGCAACCCUUAUCCUUAGUUGCCAGCGGGUCAUGCCGGGGACUCUGAGGAGACUGCCACCGUAAGGUGUGAGGAAGGUGGGGAUGACGUCAAAUCAGCACGGCCCUUAUGUCCAGGGCCACACACGUGCUACAAUGGCCGGUACAGAGGGAAGCCACCACGUAAGUGGGCGCGGGAUCUAUAAAACCGGUCACAGUUCGGAUCGGGGUCUGGCAACUCCG
RNAcentral lists this ribosomal RNA (520 nucleotides) under uncultured bacterium. RNAcentral describes it as "bacterial SSU rRNA". It matches the Rfam family "Bacterial small subunit ribosomal RNA", at positions 791 to 1314 of the family's 1533-position model. The record is from RNAcentral.